AGAGCGAACGCUGGCGGCAGGCCUAACACAUGCAAGUCGAGCGGUCGUAGCAAUACGGCAGCGGCAGACGGGAGAGUAACACGUGGGAACGCGCCCUUCGGUUCGGAAUAACUCAGGGAAACUUGGGCUAAUACCGGAUACGCCCUUACGGGGAAAGAUUUAUUGCCGAAGGAACGGCCCGCGUCCGAUUAGCUUGUUGGUGAGGUAACGGCUCACCAAGGCGACGAUCGGUAGCUGGUCUGAGAGGAUGACCAGCCUCACUGGGACUGAGACACGGCCCAGACUCCUACGGGAGGCAGCAGUGGGGAAUAUUGGACAAUGGGCGCAAGCCUGAUCCAGCCAUGCCGCGUGAGUGAUGAAGGCCUUAGGGUUGUAAAGCUCUUUAGCAGGGAAGAUAAUGACGGUACCUGCAGAAAACGCCCGGCUAACUACGCGCCAGCAGCCGAC
This 447-nucleotide ribosomal RNA is filed under the name uncultured bacterium. RNAcentral describes it as "SSU rRNA". It matches the Rfam family "Bacterial small subunit ribosomal RNA", at positions 26 to 518 of the family's 1533-position model. The record is from RNAcentral.